This 1497-nucleotide long non-coding RNA is filed under the name Macaca fascicularis (crab-eating macaque). RNAcentral describes it as "lncRNA (ENSMFAG00000056872.1)". Lineage: Eukaryota; Metazoa; Chordata; Mammalia; Primates; Cercopithecidae. The record is from RNAcentral.
UUUUUUUUUUUUUUUUUUUUUUGAGACAGAGUCUUGCUCUGUUACUCAGGCUAGAGUACAGUGGUUAUCACAGUUCAUUGCAACCUGGACCUCCUGGGCUCAAGUGAUUCUCCCACCUCAGCCUCCUGAGUAACUGGGACUACAGGCACAUAUCACCAUACCCAGCCAAUUUUUAAAUAUUUUGUAGAGACAAGGUCUUCCUAUGUUGUUCGGGCUGGUCUUGAUCUUCUGGGUUCAAGCGAUCUUCCUGCUUUGGCCUCCCAAAGUGCUGGGAUUAUAGGCAUGAGCCACCAUGCCCGGCCUGUAGUCAUGAUUUUGAGUAAAGCUGAACCCCCCAAUAGCAGACUUACUUAGAGGGACAAAGUAGCCCAAGGAGAAGAAGAUCCAAGGAUAAGAGCAAGGGCUUUGGCAUUCGACCUGGCUAUGAAUUCUGUGCCACUUGCUGGAUUGACAAUGAUGGGAGUGUUGCCUUCUCUCUUUGAGAACAUAAGGCCCAUGAAACUCAAUAUGUGGCCCUGACAGUUUUACCUGCAGUGAACUUUGAAACACAUUUCUUGGGGUGUCUUAAGCUGGCCUUGCCAUCAAGCUGGUGCUCUCAUCUGGGCCUUAUGUUCUCAAAGAGAGAAGGCAACACUCCCAUCAUUGUCACAUGUGAGAACAUAGUUUUAUCAUCUGUAAAAUGAGGAUGAUUAUAAUUACUUCAUAAAGCCCUUGUAAGAAUUACAUGAAAAAAUGUUUUGAAGCAUUUAGUACGUUGCCUGUACAUAGCAGCCACUCAGUUGUAAUUACUAUCAUCAAUAUGGCAAGCAAAGACUGACAAAGAAUCAAAGUGUGCUGAAAGUGUUCUACCGUCUAAAGGGUAACCCCUCUAGGUUGUCUGAUUUGGAAUGUAUGGGAGCAAUUUUAACAACUUUGUAAUUUGUAGAUUAUUGAUAACAAUGUAAUGUAAUUCCUGUCUGUAGAUACAGAUUCUGUCUUGUCUGGUAGAGGUUCAAUUGACUUCCCUUUAUUUUUUUCUUUCCAACUUUUAUUUUCGGUUUGGUGUGAUUAUUUUAUCACCCAGGUAAUAAACAUAGUAUCUGAUAGGUAGUUUUAAAAUCUUCUCCUUCCUCUCACCCAACUUCUCUUUCUUACUUCUUCUGGAAAAAGCAGUUUUGCCUUGACUCAUGCACUCAUUUCAACAUUUCUCAUCUCAUUUCAACAUUUCUCAUCUAUAAGCAAGGACACCUCUGGAAGAUGCAAGGCCCAGCAAAUAUUUUUGAUAUAAACUAUUUGAUGUACACUUUAAAUGGAUGAAUUGUAUGCUAUCUGAAUUAUAUUCCAAUGAGACUAUUAAAAACACUUGUGGGUUUUUGGUUGUCUUUUUAGUUCCCCAGUACUAUUCUGGCAAUUCUGGGUCCCUUCUGGCAUGAUUUCAUGAAAGAACCCAGGCAGGAGUGAUUCAGGCCGCCUCUCUGAAAUUGGGGCCCAGGCCACAGGGCCCUAGGAAAGCUUCAU